This 219-nucleotide long non-coding RNA is filed under the name Lathyrus oleraceus (garden pea). RNAcentral describes it as "Pisum sativum (pea) long non-coding RNA (PSAT_LNC036917)". The record is from RNAcentral. Lineage: Eukaryota; Viridiplantae; Streptophyta; Magnoliopsida; Fabales; Fabaceae.
GUGUGUAUCCAAGGAGAAAAGCAGAAGAAACUCAUCAAGGAGCUGGAAGCUGAGAAAUAGAAGCAUCUGACAGUCAUAGAUGGUCUAAAUGGUGAGAUGUCAUUGCUGACAUCUAAGCUAGAUCAAAUGACAAAGUCCAUCAGAAUGCUGAAUAAAGGAACAGACACGUUGGAAGAGAUUCUAAAGGUGGAACAGAAGUCAGGAACCAUGGCUGGUUUA